RNAcentral lists this small nucleolar RNA (117 nucleotides) under Microcebus murinus (gray mouse lemur). The record is from RNAcentral. Lineage: Eukaryota; Metazoa; Chordata; Mammalia; Primates; Cheirogaleidae.
ACGUGAACUGAUGACUGGAUAAAAAAAUUGUGGACAGGUUUGCUAAAGUAAUUAUGGUGAUAGAAAUGUACUAGCCUCAGAUGUUACUGAGGUUGCCCAUUCUAUCUUAGUACAGUG